Molecule: ribosomal RNA, 493 nt
Filed under: uncultured bacterium
Lineage: Bacteria
Description: bacterial SSU rRNA
Rfam family: Bacterial small subunit ribosomal RNA
Source: RNAcentral
AGUGAACGCUGGCGGCAGGCCUAACACAUGCAAGUCGAGCGGCAGCGCGUCCGACCACCCUCGGGUGGUCGGAUGGCGGCGAGCGGCGGACGGGUGAGGAAUGCAUCGGAAUCUGCCUCGUUGUGGGGGAUAACGUAGGGAAACUUACGCUAAUACCGCAUACGACCUACGGGUGAAAGUGGGGGACCUUCGGGCCUCACGCGAUGAGAUGAGCCGAUGCCGGAUUAGCUAGUUGGCGGGGUAAAGGCCCACCAAGGCGACGAUCCGUAGCUGGUCUGAGAGGAUGAUCAGCCACACUGGAACUGAGACACGGUCCAGACUCCUACGGGAGGCAGCAGUGGGGAAUAUUGGACAAUGGGCGCAAGCCUGAUCCAGCCAUGCCGCGUGAGUGAAGAAGGCCCUCGGGUUGUAAACUGCUUUUGCCAGGGGAUAAAAACACUUUGCGAAGUGGAUUGAAGGUACCUGGUGAAUAAGCCACGGCUAACUACGUGCC